Molecule: ribosomal RNA, 485 nt
Filed under: uncultured bacterium
Lineage: Bacteria
Description: bacterial SSU rRNA
Rfam family: Bacterial small subunit ribosomal RNA
Source: RNAcentral
GGUUCAGAACGAACGCUGGUGGCGUGUCUUAUACAUGCAAGUCGAGCGAGGCAGCAAUGCCGAGCGGCGAACGGGUGAGUAACGCGUAAGCAAUCUGCCCCAUAUCAGGAAAUACCCGUGCCAACGCGCGGUUAAUGUCCAGGAGAGUGGCCCUCUGCAUGGAGGGUUGACUAGAGAUUUAUCGGUAUGGGAUGAGCUUGCGUCCGAUUAGCUAGUUGGCGGGGCAACGGCCCACCAAGGCGACGAUCGGUAGCCGGCCUGAGAGGGUGAUCGGCCACAUUGGGACUGAGAUACGGCCCAGACUCCUACGGGAGGCAGCAGUAGGGAAUAUUGCACAAUGGGGGAAACCCUGAUGCAGCAACGCCACGUGUGGGAAGAAGCAUUUCGGUGUGUAAACCACUGUCAUGAGGGAAUAAGGCCCGCCUUCGGACGGGAUUGAAUGUACCUUGAGAGGAAGCACCGGCAAACUUCGUGCCAGCCGCUGC